UACGUAGGAGGCGAGCGUUGUCCGGAAUUACUGGGCGUAAAGAGCGCGUAGGCGGCACGGUACGACCGGUGUGAAAGCCCCCGGCUCAAACUGGGGGAGGGUCAUUCGAUACUGAUCGACUCGAAGGCAGGAGAGGGUAGUGGAAUUCCCGGUGUAGUGGUGAAAUGCGUAGAUAUCGGGAGGAACACCAGUGGCGAAGGCGACUACCUGGCCUGUUCUUGACGCUGAGGCGCGAAAGCUAGGGGAGCAAACGGG
RNAcentral lists this ribosomal RNA (255 nucleotides) under uncultured bacterium. RNAcentral's name for it is "partial 16S ribosomal RNA". It matches the Rfam family "Bacterial small subunit ribosomal RNA", at positions 524 to 776 of the family's 1533-position model. The record is from RNAcentral.